This 496-nucleotide ribosomal RNA is filed under the name uncultured bacterium. RNAcentral describes it as "bacterial SSU rRNA". It matches the Rfam family "Bacterial small subunit ribosomal RNA", at positions 30 to 502 of the family's 1533-position model. The record is from RNAcentral.
AUUGAACGCUGGCGGCGUGCCUAACACAUGCAAGUCGAGCGGUAACAGGUGUAGCAAUACAUGCUGACGAGCGGCGAACGGGUGAGUAAUGCUUUGGAAUCUUCCCAGUAGUGGGGAAUAACCAGUCGAAAGAUUGGCUAAUACCGCAUACGUCUGUAAAGGGAAAGCGGGGGACUCGCCUCUUCUUCGGAAGAGAGGCCUCGCGCUAUUGGAUGAGCCAAAGCGGAUUAGCUAGUUGGUGGGGUAAUGGCCUACCAAGGCGACAAUCCGUAGCUGGUCUGAGAGGACGACCAGCCACACCGGAACUGAGACACGGUCCGGACUCCUACGGGAGGCAGCAGUGGGGAAUAUUGGACAAUGGGGAAACCCUGAUCCAGCGACGCCGCGUGUGUGAAGAAGGCCUGCGGGUUGUAAAGCACUUUUAGUGGGGACAAAAAGCUACGGAUUAAUACUCUGUGGUCUUGAUUUAACCUACAAGAAAAAGCACCGGCUAACU